ACGGGAGGCAGCAGUGGGGAAUAUUGCACAAUGGGGGAAACCCUGAUGCAGCGACGCCGCGUGAGUGAAGAAGUAUUUCGGUAUGUAAGGCUCUAUCAGCAGGGAAGAAAAUGACGGUACCUGACUAAGAAGCACCGGCUAAAUACGUGCCAGCAGCCGCGGUAAUACGUAUGGUGCAAGCGUUAUCCGGAUUUACUGGGUGUAAAGGGAGCGUAGACGGCGAGGCAAGUCUGAAGUGAAAUGCGGGGGCUCAACCCCUGAACUGCUUUGGAAACUGUUUUGCUAGAGUGCAGGAGAGGUAAGUGGAAUUCCUAGUGUAGCGGUGAAAUGCGUAGAUAUUAGGAGGAACACCGGCGGCGAAGGCGGCUUACUGGACUGUAACUGACGUUGAGGCUCGAAAGCGUGGGGAGCAAACAGGAUUAGAUACCCUGGUA
Molecule: ribosomal RNA, 434 nt
Filed under: uncultured Lachnospiraceae bacterium
Lineage: Bacteria; Bacillati; Bacillota; Clostridia; Lachnospirales; Lachnospiraceae
Description: partial 16S ribosomal RNA
Rfam family: Bacterial small subunit ribosomal RNA
Source: RNAcentral